UAGCUCAGAUGAAGCUUGACUAGGAACAGUGUCCAUCCACCCAUGGAUCCUGCACACAGUCAGAUAAUCAAUGCAAAACUCAGCCUGGUCCUGAGGGGUGGAGAGUCAAAGUCACCAGGAAACAGAGGGUUCUCAGCCAACGGUAUUGUGCUCACCUGUAUCAGGAAGUGGAGCUUCUGAGUUAUCAUUAAAGUGAAGAAAUGUCAUUAUUUGUUUGAACCUUCUUCUCGUCAUAAUCUUUGGAAAG
Non-coding RNA from Kogia breviceps (pygmy sperm whale), 247 nucleotides. NCBI's taxonomy places the organism in Eukaryota, Metazoa, Chordata, Mammalia, Artiodactyla, Physeteridae. The record is from RefSeq and is a predicted model, not a curated record.